RNAcentral lists this transfer RNA (73 nucleotides) under Stegodyphus mimosarum. It matches the Rfam family "tRNA". From Rfam's summary of the family: Transfer RNA (tRNA) molecules are approximately 80 nucleotides in length. The record is from Rfam by way of RNAcentral. Lineage: Eukaryota; Metazoa; Arthropoda; Arachnida; Araneae; Eresidae.
GCUUUCGUGGUGUAGUGGUCAGCACGCUCGACGCGUAACUGAGAGGUCCGUGGUUCGAUUCCCGGCGGAGGCG